This 549-nucleotide ribosomal RNA is filed under the name uncultured bacterium. Its description in RNAcentral is "bacterial SSU rRNA". It matches the Rfam family "Archaeal small subunit ribosomal RNA", at positions 728 to 1274 of the family's 1478-position model. The record is from RNAcentral.
AAUAGAUACCCCGGUAGUCCCAGCCGUAAACGAUGCUCGCUAGGUGUCAGGCAUGGCGCGACCGUGUCUGGUGCCGCAGGGAAGCCGUGAAGCGAGCCACCUGGGAAGUACGGCCGCAAGGCUGAAACUUAAAGGAAUUGGCGGGGGAGCACAACAACGGGUGGAGCCUGCGGUUUAAUUGGACUCAACGCCGGACAACUCACCGGGGACGACAGCAAUAUGUAGGCCAGGCUAAAGACCUUGCCUGAAUCGCUGAGAGGAGGUGCAUGGCCGUCGCCAGUUCGUACUGUGAAGCAUCCUGUUAAGUCAGGCAACGAGCGAGACCCGUGCCCACUGUUACCAGCAUGUCCUCCGGGACGAUGGGUACUCUGUGGGGACCGCCGAUGUUAAAUCGGAGGAAGGUGCGGGCUACGGUAGGUCAGUAUGCCCCGAAUUUCCCGGGGCUACACGCGGGCUACAAUGAAUGGGACGAAUGGGUCCCUACCCGACGAGGGGUUGGUAAUCUCCCAAACCCAUCCGUAGUUCGGAUCGAGGGCUGUAACUCGCCCU